AGAACAGGGGGAUGUAAACUUUGGAUCAGGGUCAUUUGGGUAGUUCUCUUGUCAUUAUGAUUUAAAAAGAGUGAACACAGUUGUUUAACAAUACAUGGCUUCACCAAACCACUAACCAUGAAUAGAAAUUUUUUUUUUUUUUUAAGUAUAUUUGUGCC
Thalassophryne amazonica is the source of this 158-nucleotide long non-coding RNA. RefSeq lists it as uncharacterized. Lineage: Eukaryota; Metazoa; Chordata; Actinopteri; Batrachoidiformes; Batrachoididae. The record is from RefSeq and is a predicted model, not a curated record. The transcript has 3 exons.